AUGUCUGGAGCGCUUAAUUUCUUGCAAAUGACGGAGGAGGAUGUCCUUGUUUCCUGCAGGAGGAACUCACUUAGGUGGCACCAACCUUGACUUCCAGAUUGAACAGUACAUCCGUAAAAGGAAAAAUGAUGGCAUCUGCAUCGUAAAUCUGAAGAGGACCUGGGAGAAGCUUCUCCUGGCAGCUCGUGCCACUAUUGACAUUGAAAACCCUGCUGAUGUCACUUUUACAUCCUCCAGGAAUACUGGCCAGAGGGCCGUGCUGAAGUCUGCUGCUGCCACUGGAGACACUCCAAUUGCUGCCACUUCACUCCUGGAACCUUCACUAACCAGAUCCAGGCAGCCUUCUGGGAGCCAUGGCUUCUUGUGGUUACUGACUGCAGGGCUGACCACCAGCCUCUCAUGAAGUUAUCUUAUAUUAACCCAGCUACCACUGCUCUGUGUAACACAGAUUCUCCUUUGCUCCAUGUGGACAUUGUCAUCCCAUGCAACAACGAGGGAGCUCACUCAGUGGGUUUGAUGAGGCGGGUGCCAGCCUGGGAAGUUCUGCAGAUGUGUGGCACCGAAAUGGUGAGCACCUGUGGGAGGUCAUGCCUGAUCUCUGCUUCUACAGAGAUCCUAAAGAGGUUGAAAAAGAAGAGCAGGCUGCUGCUAAAAAGGAUAUGAUCAAGGAGGAGUUUCAGGGUGAAUGGACUUCUCCAGCUCCUGAGUUCACUGCUGCUCACCCCGAGCAGACUGGUCUGAAGGCAUGCAGGUGCCCUCUGUGCCUAUUCAACAGUUCCUUACUAAAGACUACUAGGGAAGACUGGUCUACAGCUCCCACUGCUCAGGCCACUGAAUGGGUAGGAGCAACCACUGAAUGGUUUUAAGCUGUUCUUGCAUAGGCUUUCAAGCAACAUGGAAAUAAGGUUGAUGGAAAAUAAACAUCAGUUUCUAAAAAACAAA
RNA transcript from Sapajus apella (tufted capuchin), 942 nucleotides. It is a transcript of the gene named 40S ribosomal protein SA pseudogene, with no coding region annotated. The record is from RefSeq and is a predicted model, not a curated record. The transcript has a single exon. NCBI's taxonomy places the organism in Eukaryota, Metazoa, Chordata, Mammalia, Primates, Cebidae.